UGGGGAAUAUUGGACAAUGGGCGAAAGCCUGAUCCAGCAAUGCCGCGUGAGUGAUGAAGGCCUUAGGGUUGUAAAGCUCUUUUACCAGGGAUGAUAAUGACAGUACCUGGAGAAUAAGCUCCGGCUAACUCCGUGCCAGCAGCCGCGGUAAUACGGAGGGAGCUAGCGUUGUUCGGAAUUACUGGGCGUAAAGCGUGCGUAGGCGGUCCAUCAAGUCAGAGGUGAAAGCCUGGAGCUCAACUCCAGAACUGCCUUUGAAACUAGCGGACUAGAAUCUGGGAGAGGUGAGUGGAAUUCCGAGUGUAGAGGUGAAAUUCGUAGAUAUUCGGAAGAACACCAGUGGCGAAGGCGGCUCACUGGACCAGAAUUGACGCUGAGGCACGAAAGCGUGGGGAGCAAA
Molecule: ribosomal RNA, 400 nt
Filed under: uncultured bacterium
Lineage: Bacteria
Description: bacterial SSU rRNA
Rfam family: Bacterial small subunit ribosomal RNA
Source: RNAcentral